UAAAAGGGCUUCAACAACGUCAGUGUUUCGGAUGACAACCUUAACUGGGCGUUAUCCGCGGAAUCUAAAUCAAGAGAUUUCGGAAGCACAAUUUUUAUAACAGGGAAUACUGGUAACCACUCGUUCCAGUGUCCCG
Hippocampus comes (tiger tail seahorse) is the source of this 136-nucleotide small nuclear RNA. The record is from Ensembl. Lineage: Eukaryota; Metazoa; Chordata; Actinopteri; Syngnathiformes; Syngnathidae.